CAAUAGUGUAUAUUAAAGUUGUUGCAGUUAAAAAGCUCGUAGUUGAAUGUUGGUGUCGAACGAGCGGUCAGCUUCGGCUGUACUGCUCUCUCGACUCCUUCCUUCUGUGGACUACGUCGCACUUUACUGUGUGGCGCUAGGACGCAGAUCGUUUACUGUGAAAAAAUUAGAGUGUUCAAAGCAGGCCGUACGCUUGAAUACAUUAGCAUGGAAUAAUGGAAUAGGACGUCGGGCCUAUUUUGUUGGUUCUAGGACCGUCGUAAUGAUUAAUAGGGACAGUUGGGGCCGUUUAUAUUCCGUAGUCAGAGGUGAAAUUCUUGGAUUUACGGAAGAUAAACUACUGCGAAAGCAUUCGGCAAGGAUGUUUUCGUUA
Molecule: ribosomal RNA, 373 nt
Filed under: uncultured eukaryote
Lineage: Eukaryota
Description: partial 18S ribosomal RNA
Rfam family: Eukaryotic small subunit ribosomal RNA
Source: RNAcentral